UACGUAGGGUGCGAGCGUUAAUCGGAAUUACUGGGCGUAAAGCGUGCGCAGGCGGUUUUGUAAGCCAGAUGUGAAAGCCCCGGGCUUAACCUGGGAAUGGCAUUUGGGACUGCAAGGCUUGAGUGCGGCAGAGGAGACUGGAAUUCCUGGUGUAGCAGUGAAAUGCGUAGAUAUCGAGAGGAACACCAGUGGCGAAGGCGAGUCCCUGGACAACACCUGACACUGAGGCACGAAAGCUAGGGGAGCAAACAGG
Molecule: ribosomal RNA, 253 nt
Filed under: uncultured bacterium
Lineage: Bacteria
Description: partial 16S ribosomal RNA
Rfam family: Bacterial small subunit ribosomal RNA
Source: RNAcentral